GUCUGAAUCUUAAUCAUUCAGAUUCAGCACAUUAAGUGCAUUUAGUUUUAAGGUCUGAAUUUUAAUUAUUCAGAUUCCGCCCAUUAAGUGCAUUUGUUUUGUUUCCUUAUGAACCUCUUAAUGGAUCUGAAUAGAUCUGAACAAAUCAGAUCUAUAAAAGAGUCUUAUUCCAUUCAGACUCAUUAAAUAAUACACGCUAUUAACAAAACACGCCUUUGCUUCUUUCUCUUGCAAAAUUUCCACGCCUCCCUCUCUGUUUCUUCAACCAAAAUGCCAUUUUUUUCUCUCUUGAACUGAGUGUUUCAGGUGAUUGAUUGCAACAUGUUCGGAGAUGCGCGGUGCCUAAUCUGAAGGCCUUCUCCCACUUCACUCCGGGACGGAGGUUGGGUCUUAUAGUGUUAUUGUAAUCCGUAUCUUUUAGUCGCUUUUGUACUAGUCUAGACCAUGUCGUGGGAACUUGAAAAGAGUCUUUAUUUAUUUAACGGUUGUAAAUACUUUGAAUAUUGGAGUUUAUUAGGUAAUUGAUUUAUGCUGUUAAUUGUA
This is a long non-coding RNA of Lycium barbarum (goji berry), 543 nucleotides long. RefSeq lists it as uncharacterized. The record is from RefSeq and is a predicted model, not a curated record. NCBI's taxonomy places the organism in Eukaryota, Viridiplantae, Streptophyta, Magnoliopsida, Solanales, Solanaceae. The transcript is spliced from 2 exons.